RNAcentral lists this ribosomal RNA (253 nucleotides) under uncultured bacterium. Its description in RNAcentral is "partial 16S ribosomal RNA". It matches the Rfam family "Bacterial small subunit ribosomal RNA", at positions 524 to 776 of the family's 1533-position model. The record is from RNAcentral.
UACAGAGGUCCCGAGCGUUGUUCGGAUUUACUGGGCGUAAAGCGUGCGCAGGCGGUUUUGUAAGCCAGAUGUGAAAUCCCCGGGCUUAACCUGGGAAUGGCAUUUGGGACUGCAAGGCUGGAGUGUGGCAGAGGAGACUGGAAUUCCUGGUGUAGCAGUGAAAUGCGUAGAUAUCAGGAGGAAUACCGAUGGCGAAGGCAGGUCUCUGGGCUGACACUGACGCUCAUGCACGAAAGCGUGGGGAGCAAACAGG